GUGGCGAACGGGUGAGUAACACGUGGGUAACCUGCCCAGAAGUAGGGGAUAACACCUGGAAACAGAUGCUAAUACCGUAUAACAGAGAAAACCGCAUGGUUUUCUUUUAAAAGAUGGCUCUGCUAUCACUUCUGGAUGGACCCGCGGCGUAUUAGCUAGUUGGUGAGGUAAAGGCUCACCAAGGCAGUGAUACGUAGCCGACCUGAGAGGGUAAUCGGCCACAUUGGGACUGAGACACGGCCCAGACUCCUACGGGAGGCAGCAGUAGGGAAUCUUCCACAAUGGACGCAAGUCUGAUGGAGCAACGCCGCGUGAGUGAAGAAGGGUUUCGGCUCGUAAAGCUCUGUUGUUAAAGAAGAACGUGGGUAAGAGUAACUGUUUACCCAGUGACGGUAUUUAACCAGAAAGCCACGGCUAACUACGUGCCAGCAGCCGCGGUAAUACGUAGGUGGCAAGCGUUAUCCGGAUUUAUUGGGCGUAAAGCGAGCGCAGGCGGUCUUUUAAGUCUAAUGUGAAAGCCUUCGGCUCAACCGAAGAAGUGCAUUGGAAACUGGGAGACUUGAGUGCAGAAGAGGACAGUGGAACUCCAUGUGUAGCGGUGAAAUGCGUAGAUAUAUGGAAGAACACCAGUGGCGAAGGCGGCUGUCUGGUCUGCAACUGACGCUGAGGCUCGAAAGCAUGGGUAGCGAACAGGAUUAGAUACCCUGGUAGUCCAUGCCGUAAACGAUGAUUACUAAGUGUUGGAGGGUUUCCGCCCUUCAGUGCUGCAGCUAACGCAUUAAGUAAUCCGCCUGGGGAGUACGACCGCAAGGUUGAAACUCAAAAGAAUUGACGGGGGCCCGCACAAGCGGUGGAGCAUGUGGUUUAAUUCGAAGCUACGCGAAGAACCUUACCAGGUCUUGACAUCUUCUGACAGUCUAAGAGAUUAGAGGUUCCCUUCGGGGACAGAAUGACAGGUGGUGCAUGGUUGUCGUCAGCUCGUGUCGUGAGAUGUUGGGUUAAGUCCCGCAACGAGCGCAACCCUUAUUACUAGUUGCCAGCAUUAAGUUGGGCACUCUAGUGAGACUGCCGGUGACAAACCGGAGGAAGGUGGGGACGACGUCAAAUCAUCAUGCCCCUUAUGACCUGGGCUACACACGUGCUACAAUGGAUGGUACAACGAGUCGCGAGACCGCGAGGUUAAGCUAAUCUCUUAAAACCAUUCUCAGUUCGGACUGUAGGCUGCAACUCGCCUACACGAAGUCGGAAUCGCUAGUAAUCGCGGAUCAGCAUGCCGCGGUGAAUACGUUCCCGGGCCUUGUACACACCGCCCGUCACACCAUGAGAGUUUGUAACACCCAAAGCCGGUGGGGUA
RNAcentral lists this ribosomal RNA (1354 nucleotides) under Pediococcus pentosaceus. Its description in RNAcentral is "bacterial SSU rRNA". It matches the Rfam family "Bacterial small subunit ribosomal RNA", at positions 95 to 1437 of the family's 1533-position model. The record is from RNAcentral. Lineage: Bacteria; Bacillati; Bacillota; Bacilli; Lactobacillales; Lactobacillaceae.